AUGAUUAUACUCUCCACAACCGAGCUCCUGUUUUCUUCAAUUGUCUCUGCUGCAACCCUGACCAUAGCAUCCAUAAGCAUUGGCAUGACAUGGUCUUCGAUCAUAGCCAUUAUGUUAUCCUUUCCCCUGCAGUUAUAUCAGAACAUUAAACAUGUCAGAAUAGACCAUCACCUAAAUAGAUCAGAGUGCAUUGGUCUGCAUAAACAUAUUUACCAGGUUGCUCACCUCUCCAACUUCGACCAUGCUGGAUGUUGCAUCUUCACCCACUCUCGCUGCCAUCAUCGGGAGCCACCUCAUAGGAAGCCCACCCAUGCUCCCCUAUGGCCUUAUCUGCAAUACAAAACAGACAGAUUGUAA
RNAcentral lists this ribosomal RNA (357 nucleotides) under Triticum aestivum (bread wheat). Its description in RNAcentral is "partial small subunit ribosomal RNA". The record is from RNAcentral. Lineage: Eukaryota; Viridiplantae; Streptophyta; Magnoliopsida; Poales; Poaceae.